This 374-nucleotide ribosomal RNA is filed under the name Escherichia coli 2-177-06_S1_C2. RNAcentral describes it as "partial 16S ribosomal RNA". The stretch from base 67 to 374 matches the Rfam family "Bacterial large subunit ribosomal RNA", at positions 1 to 313 of the family's 2925-position model. Lineage: Bacteria; Pseudomonadati; Pseudomonadota; Gammaproteobacteria; Enterobacterales; Enterobacteriaceae. The record is from RNAcentral.
UGUUCGUGAGUCUCUCAAAUUUUCGCAACACGAUGAUGAAUCGCAAGAAACAUCUUCGGGUUGUGAGGUUAAGCGACUAAGCGUACACGGUGGAUGCCCUGGCAGUCAGAGGCGAUGAAGGACGUGCUAAUCUGCGAUAAGCGUCGGUAAGGUGAUAUGAACCGUUAUAACCGGCGAUUUCCGAAUGGGGAAACCCAGUGUGAUUCGUCACACUAUCAUUAACUGAAUCCAUAGGUUAAUGAGGCGAACCGGGGGAACUGAAACAUCUAAGUACCCCGAGGAAAAGAAAUCAACCGAGAUUCCCCCAGUAGCGGCGAGCGAACGGGGAGCAGCCCAGAGCCUGAAUCAGUGUGUGUGUUAGUGGAAGCGUCUGG